ACGCGCUGAACCUUACCAGGUCUUGACAUCCUCUGACACUCCUAGAGAUAGGACGUUCCCCUUCGGGGGACAGAGUGACAGGUGGUGCAUGGUUGUCGUCAGCUCGUGUCGUGAGAUGUUGGGUUAAGUCCCGCAACGAGCGCAACCCUUGAUCUUAGUUGCCAGCAUUUAGUUGGGCACUCUAAGGUGACUGCCGGUGACAAACCGGAGGAAGGUGGGGAUGACGUCAAAUCAUCAUGCCCCUUAUGACCUGGGCUACACACGUGCUACAAUGGAUGGUACAAAGGGCUGCAAGACUGCGAAGUCAAGCGAAUCCCAUAAAACCAUUCUCAGUUCGGAUUGCAGGCUGCAACUCGCCUGCAUGAAGCCGGAAUCGCUAGUAAUCGCGGAUCAGCAUGCCGCGGUGAAUACGUUCCCGGGCCUUGCACACACCGCCCGU
This 439-nucleotide ribosomal RNA is filed under the name uncultured bacterium. Its description in RNAcentral is "bacterial SSU rRNA". It matches the Rfam family "Bacterial small subunit ribosomal RNA", at positions 959 to 1397 of the family's 1533-position model. The record is from RNAcentral.